Molecule: ribosomal RNA, 321 nt
Filed under: uncultured bacterium
Lineage: Bacteria
Description: bacterial SSU rRNA
Rfam family: Bacterial small subunit ribosomal RNA
Source: RNAcentral
AGCUGCAGAAGAAGCACCGGCUAACUCCGUGCCAGCAGCCGCGGUAAUACGGAGGGUGCGAGCGUUAAUCGGAAUUACUGGGCGUAAAGCGCAUGCAGGUGGUUUGUUAAGUCAGAUGUGAAAGCCCGGGGCUCAACCUCGGAAUUGCAUUUUGAAAACUGGCAAACUAGAGUACUGUAGAGGGGGGUAGAAGUUUCAGGUGUAGCGGUGAAAUGCGUAGAGAUCUGAAGGAAUACCGGUGGCGAAGGCGGCCCCCUGGACCAGAUACUGACACUCAGAUGCGAAAGCGUGGGGAGCAAACAGGAUUAGAUACCCUGGUAG